AGUGAACGCUGGCGGUAGGCCUAACACAUGCAAGUCGAACGGCAGCACAGUAAGAGCUUGCUCUUACGGGUGGCGCGUGGCGGACGGGUGAGGAAUACAUCGGAAUCUACUUUUUCGUGGGGGAUAACGUAGGGAAACUUACGCUAAUACCGCAUACGACCUACGGGUGAAAGCAGGGGAUCUUCGGACCUUGCGCGAUUGAAUGAGCCGAGGUCGGAUUAGCUAGUUGGCGGGGUAAAGGCCCACCAAGGCGACGAUCCGUAGCUGGUCUGAGAGGAUGAUCAGCCACACUGGAACUGAGACACGGUCCAGACUCCUACGGGAGGCAGCAGUGGGGAAUAUUGGACGAUGGGCGCAAGCCUGAUCCAGCCAUACCGCGGGGGUGAAGAAGGCCUUCGGGUUGUAAAGCCCUUUUGUUGGGAAAGAAAAGCAGCAGGUUAAUACCCCGCUGUUCUGACGGUACCCAAAGAAUAAGCACCGGCUAACUUCGUG
Molecule: ribosomal RNA, 492 nt
Filed under: uncultured bacterium
Lineage: Bacteria
Description: partial 16S ribosomal RNA
Rfam family: Bacterial small subunit ribosomal RNA
Source: RNAcentral